GACGAACGCUGGCGGUGUGCUUAACACAUGCAAGUCGAACGGAAAGGCCCUGCUUUUGUGGGGUGCUCGAGUGGCGAACGGGUGAGUAACACGUGAGUAACCUGCCCUUGACUUUGGGAUAACUUCAGGAAACUGGGGCUAAUAUCGGAUAGGAGCUCCUGCUGCAUGGUGGGGGUUGGAAAGUUUCGGCGGUUGGGGAUGGACUCGCGGCUUAUCAGCUUGUUGGUGGGGUAGUGGCUUACCAAGGCUUUGACGGGUAGCCGGCCUGAGAGGGGGACCGGCCACAUUGGUACUGAGAUACGGCCCAGACUCCUACGGUAGGCAGCAGUGGGGAAUAUUGCACAAUGGGCGGAAGCCUGAUGCAGCAACGCCGCGUGCGUGAUGACGGCCUUCUGGUUGUAAACCGCUUUCGCCUGUGACGAAGCGUGAGUGACGGUAAUGGGUAAAGAAGCACCGGCUAACUACGUG
RNAcentral lists this ribosomal RNA (468 nucleotides) under uncultured bacterium. RNAcentral describes it as "partial 16S ribosomal RNA". It matches the Rfam family "Bacterial small subunit ribosomal RNA", at positions 28 to 507 of the family's 1533-position model. The record is from RNAcentral.